UACAGAGGGUGCAAGCGUUGUUCGGAAUUACUGGGCGUAAAGCGCGCGUAGGCGGCUUUGCAAGUCGAGUGUGAAAAUCCCCCAGGCUUAACCUGGGAACUGCAUUCGAGACUGCAUGAGCUAGAGUAUGGGAGAGGGAAGUGGAAUUUCAGUGUAGCGGUGAAAUGCGUAGAUAUCUGAAGAACAUCAGUGGCGAAAGCGACUUCCUGGACCAAUACUGACGCUCAUGUGCGAAAGCGUGGGGGAGCAAAUAGG
RNAcentral lists this ribosomal RNA (255 nucleotides) under uncultured bacterium. RNAcentral's name for it is "partial 16S ribosomal RNA". It matches the Rfam family "Bacterial small subunit ribosomal RNA", at positions 524 to 776 of the family's 1533-position model. The record is from RNAcentral.